AUGAACGCUGGCAGCGUGCCUAAUACAUGCAAGUCGAGCGAACAGAUGAGGAGCUUGCUCCUCUGACGUUAGCGGCGGACGGGUGAGUAACACGUGGAUAACCUACCUAUAAGACUGGGAUAACUUCGGGAAACCGGAGCUAAUACCGGAUAAUAUAUUGAACCGCAUGGUUCAAUAGUGAAAGACGGUUUUGCUGUCACUUAUAGAUGGAUCCGCGCCGCAUUAGCUAGUUGGUAAGGUAACGGCUUACCAAGGCAACGAUGCGUAGCCGACCUGAGAGGGUGAUCGGCCACACUGGAACUGAGACACGGUCCAGACUCCUACGGGAGGCAGCAGUAGGGAACCUUCCGCAAUGGGCGAAAGCCUGACGGAGCAACGCCGCGUGAGUGAUGAAGGUCUUCGGAUCGUAAAACUCUGUUAUUAGGGAAGAACAAAUGUGUAAGUAACUAUGCACGUCUUGACGGUACCUAAUCAGAAAGCCACGGCUAACUACGUG
This 496-nucleotide ribosomal RNA is filed under the name uncultured bacterium. RNAcentral's name for it is "partial 16S ribosomal RNA". It matches the Rfam family "Bacterial small subunit ribosomal RNA", at positions 29 to 507 of the family's 1533-position model. The record is from RNAcentral.